CAAUAGCGUAUAUUAAAGUUGUUGCAGUUAAAAAGCUCGUAGUUGAAUUUCGGGUCCCCGCGCUCGGCGCUUCAUUGUGCCGUCGUGGUGUCCCUCCUCGCCGUAAGGCGUCCUUUACUGUGAAAAAAUUAGAGUGUUCAAAGCAGGCAAUCGCUUGAAUACAUUAGCAUGGAAUAAUAAGAUAGGAUCUUGUCUAUUUUGUUGGUUGCGGACAACGAUAAUGAUUAAUAGGGAUAGUUGGGGGUGUCCGUAUUGAGCUGUCAGAGGUGAAAUUCUUGGAUUUGCUCAAGACGAGCUACUGCGAAAGCAUUCACCAAGGAUGUUUUCAUUA
RNAcentral lists this ribosomal RNA (331 nucleotides) under uncultured eukaryote. Its description in RNAcentral is "partial 18S ribosomal RNA". It matches the Rfam family "Eukaryotic small subunit ribosomal RNA", at positions 592 to 975 of the family's 1831-position model. The record is from RNAcentral.